Molecule: long non-coding RNA, 4352 nt
Filed under: Daucus carota (carrot)
Lineage: Eukaryota; Viridiplantae; Streptophyta; Magnoliopsida; Apiales; Apiaceae
Description: long non-coding RNA (DCAR_LNC001791)
Source: RNAcentral
UAUAGACUCUUAUAUGCUCAAUAAUGAAUGAAAAAACAUAUCAGAACGCAUUUCUUUUCAUUAUUGUUAAAUGUGUGAGCAUCCUAAAGCAAAAAGUGCCAAAAUAAUAUAAGAAUUUCGCUGAAUGAUCCAUGAACUUUAAAGAGGAUGUACUUCAUAUGUUAAAAAUCAGUCAUGCAAAUUCACAAUAUAUGUAUAUCGUUAACUAAACAAAAGAGAUGAUCAGUGAUAGGGACAAAGAAAUAACAUAGAAAUUUUAUAGGAAAUAGAAGUGCAUAUAUACAGUAUACAAUUGCUGCAUAUAUACCGAGGUGUGUUACAAUGAAAGAGGUCGAGCCACUUUAUAUAUACAUUGAAUCAGCUUGCUCUCCAAGCCUGUAACAGUACUGUGAUGUCAUCAUAAUGAUGUCAGCACAUCAUGUCAUGCUACACCAAUAAUCAUCUUAAAAAUUACUUUAUUUAUUAUCUUUUCCAAUGCAAUUUUAUAGAAACGACGGUAGGUACGAGAAGAAAAUCUCUCCAAUAACAGUUUAUACCUAUAGAACUUACGACUGGAGUUCAAUGACAACAUGGUCCCUGUAGGCAUGUGCUAUAUGUGUCGCUUUGCGUGUCUAAUAUAUUGGUGACUGAACUUCAAAGUUUUCAGUCUAGAAAAAGUAAAUUACUUUAGGAUCUUUGGCUAAUCCUCAAGUAAAGAACUGAUAUAGUAGAAUUAACACCUUUACAAUUGGAACAAUAGCAGGGACGCAUCUUCCACAAUGAAAUAGACAAAUUAUUUGACCUGGCCUUUAAGGACUAAUUCAUAUUUUAGGAUUAAAAAUUGGCGAUAACCUAUUUCCCCUCCUUCACAACUAACAUUACUAACUUUUCCAAGUCCAUCAUCCUUAUCUUUAAGAAGAGUAGAGAACAAAAAUAGAUUCUGGAUAGGUUUCUAUGGAUAGUAGAUCUUCUUUUGGCAGAACUAGUUCAAGUAACAUUCAUAUAACAGAUGCAUAAUUGAAUAUAAAAGACAAUAAAAGCAUUUCGCAAAGUAUAAAUCUCUACUAGUAAUCAAACAUAGAACACUUUCUGCUGUCACUACCAUAAGGACUGUCCUGGAUAAGUUGAAACUGUACUCAAAUGAAUCAUAAAUUGACAAACAACAAUGCCAAAAGAAACACACACGCGAAUCUAGAACAUCAAAUAAAGAAUACUGAUACCUUUCUCCAAAACAGAACACAAAAGAAUCCAUUUAUUGUUUUAAGGAUCAAUUAUACAUGUUAUAGCAAGUACACGCUCAUAACAGCAAACCUGGUGUGAAGGGCAUUGUAGCUGCUUUGUAAACCCCUUUCCGAUAGUAUAUAUCAAUAAAAUUUAACCCAAUGGCCUUAUUUUUUACCCUGACCUCCCCAUCUUUGGGUUCUCCAAUUGGCACAUCCUCCCAUUUCAGGACCUGUUAUCAGUUCUACACAAUUUAAGUCAUUAUUCAACAAAAUUUACGACUCUAAUUAAAAUUCUGUGGGAGCACAAUCACAUAACAAGCCUAAAACUAGUUUUGCCUUAGUUGUAACACAGAAGAUGACAAAUGAUAAUGGACAGGUGUCCAAAGGGUAAGAUACUUGAGUUUCUGCUUGGAUGGGUAGGGAAUUUUGAAAAGAAGUAAUGUACCAUUACUUCGUCUCAAAAAUGAAGGAGCUGUUUAUAAACCAAACCUUGUCUGGUUCACGAAAUUAAUGUACUGUAAUUCAUAAAACAGCGAAAUUCACUCUUAUACAUUAGUACUCACAAUUGUUCUUUUAAUGAAUACAAGUUAACUGUCCAUGGGAAUUAAAAAAUAUGAUCCCCCUUUUUAUACAAUACUCUUUGGCAAACGACGUAAGAUAUUGUUACAUUCCAUUCUAUCAUUCCAGACCGAAACAUUACCGAGUGUCUAUAUGUCAUUCUUGUACUCAUAGUCCCAUACCCCUGAGCAACAAUGAUCAUUCAUCGGCCCUUGCAUUAUAGUACCGCGUAUAUGGAGGGUUCGAAUCUUAAUAAAGCUAGACUCGUUUCAGCAUUCUAAUUUCUGUAAUUGACCAAUAUCCACUAAAUAUUAAAUACAUGAAUGAUGUAGCAAACUGAUAUAUACAGAUUAAUAAUCAAGAGAUGAUCAAGUUAAUAACUACUGUAAACACAACAAAGUCAACAAUUCUAAAUGAUGCACACCGAUCAAUUAAAGAAGUCCUAAUGCACCCGCCCCCUAUGGGGUUCGAACCCUCAACCUCUUGUCGCUGGAGGGCUUGUUAGUCCAUGUAUAAAUCCUAAUCGAACUCUACCAUCAUCAAACUAAAUACACUACUAGCAAAUAAAAAAUAUAUAUUAUGAACUAUAAACUUCAGCUGAUAUUUGUGAUCACAACAUAAAGAUACUACAAUACAAACACACACANUUUAUAGAGUAUGGUAUGGUGACAUCCAUCAUCUCUAGCCUGUGCUGCUUUCUCUGUUGUAGAGACGGUUCCAAUAACAGUAGCACCUAGCGCAUUUGCCCACUGGCACAGAAGAGAUCCUACACCACCUGCUGCAGCAUGAACAAGAAUUGUGUGUCCAGGUUCAACCUAUAAUACAAGCUAAUAUGAGUCUCAUGCCAAGAAACACCAUAAUACUAUCAAAAGGAACACCACACGAAAUAUGCAAGCAAUGAUUUAACUUCUUAUGUCAGACCAGUGAUAUUUGAGGUGAAAGGCACAUCACGGCCUAAGAACCUCCUGAACCCAGGCAGAGAGUACUAACGUGAGGUGCAAGAUUGACAAGUUUUUAAAUGCACAGAACUAUAAUCCUGAACUCAAUAAAUGUCAAAUCAGACAUAUAAAACUGUUACCUAUGAACCAAAUGCAACUUAACUAAAUAACACAGAUACAUACAUAUUUGUAAAGUUAAGGUAUUAAACUAGGUUGCUGACCAAUAUAAGGGUCAGGUUAUACAUGCAAAUAUGGAGGAUCUUAACAUUCAGUCUCGUUACAUGGCAAAUGGCUAUAUGACCCAUGAUCUUGUAGUUUUCAUAUAUCCCUUGCUCUUUUCUAUUUAAACAAAAGUAUCUUACUACAAGUUUCUAUUGAAAUGUAGAGUCAAUAGGGUGUAUCAAAUUUUGGAAUUCACGUGCACGAACAGUUUUAUCAACUAAAGUAUAAACGAAUGGAGUGUUGGAUUGUGACAGAGAUCACAAAUGAAACCUCAUGCAAUUUGUCAAAUCCUCACAUGGUACUAAACUGUCAACUAUAGCUGCUUAAAUAGAUCGCUCCAUUCAAAAGGUAGCAAGAACUGGGCCAUGAAAGAACCUGAAUGGGCAAAGAAAAGUUUACAGAUACGAUAACAAAAGUAUAUAAGGCAAAUUAUUUUAUCAUGAACUUCCUUAAUAUAUAGCUUAUUACUAAUCAUGCAUUGAGGGGCGACAAUUUAAGUUGUGUACCUAAAUCAUAAAAUGACAGAGGCAAAAAAAAAAAUCCAACUAAAUUAGUUUUGGACUUUGAGAACUCAUAUUCUUUUCUAAUAUUGGAUGUACAUUUGGCACAUUGUGAAAGGAAUUGUCAUACAAGUCGUAGGAUGCAAAAAGUGAGAAGAAAACUGGAGUAAAAUAUUCAAAAUUCAUGUACCUUAAAACAGCGACGCACGAGAAAUUGAGCAGUCAUCCCCUUCAGCAUGACAGAGGCUGCAACAGCUGGAUCAAUAGAAGAAGGAACUGGAACCACUCUGUCCGCUGGAAGAAUCUGUUCUUCAGCGUAUGAUCCCAUUGGAUUUCCAGCAUAUGCAACAAGGUCACCUACUUUCCUGCCAGUUAGCCCAGGACCCACAGCUACCACAACACCAGCUGCCUCCAUACCUGCAAUCAAAAGCAAUAUUAAUUUAGUUUUAACCAAUUGUUAGCAUCGACAACUUUGUGUAUAACUGUAUAUAGACUCUUAUAUGCUCAAUAAUGAAUGAAAAAACAUAUCAGAACGCAUUUCUUUUCAUUAUUGUUAAAUGUGUGAGCAUCCUAAAGCAAAAAGUGCCAAAAUAAUAUAAGAAUUUCGCUGAAUGAUCCAUGAACUUUAAAGAGGAUGUACUUCAUAUGUUAAAAAUCAGUCAUGCAAAUUCACAAUAUAUGUAUAUCGUUAACUAAACAAAAGAGAUGAUCAGUGAUAGGGACAAAGAAAUAACAUAGAAAUUUUAUAGGAAAUAGAAGUGCAUAUAUACAGUAUACAAUUGCUGCAUAUAUACCGAGGUGUGUUACAAUGAAAGAGGUCGAGCCACUUUAUAUAUACAUUGAAUCAGCUUGCUCUCCAAGCCUGUAACAGUACUGUGAUGUCAUCAUAAUGAUGUCAGCACAUCAUGUCAUGCUACACCAAUAAUCAUCUU